This is a non-coding RNA of Capsicum annuum, 106 nucleotides long. The record is from Rfam. Lineage: Eukaryota; Viridiplantae; Streptophyta; Magnoliopsida; Solanales; Solanaceae.
CUUCAUGGUUUGGGUAUUGCAUAAUUUCUUCAUUGAACCUUUGCCACAUCUCAUAUAAGGGUUCACCAAUAAGUUGACAAAAAUAUGUGAUUUCAUCUAUUAGUUG